Small nucleolar RNA from Sorex fumeus (smoky shrew), 123 nucleotides. RefSeq annotates it as small nucleolar RNA ACA64. The transcript has a single exon. Lineage: Eukaryota; Metazoa; Chordata; Mammalia; Eulipotyphla; Soricidae. The record is from RefSeq and is a predicted model, not a curated record.
CCUGGUUGAAGAUAAUCCUUGGCUUUGUCCGGUGACCAUGGGUGUGAUUCAGGACCCGGAGCCCAUAGGGCCUCAGUUCGCUCUCCAGUAAGGGGAGGUAAAGCCCCAGAUGCCCUGACAUCU